AUCUGUAUCCUCAUACAUUUUAAUGUGUUUCUUCCACCUCACUUUUGGUCAUUGAAACAGAGAUGCUUUCCAUUGGUUUUCUCAAUCAAAAUUUUGUUUUCAUGUCUUGUCUCUCUUAUAUGAAUUUCAUAUCCAGCUCAUUAUAACCUUUAUCUGGCUACCCAACAGUACUAGAGGACUUGUCAAUAAAACAAAGUUCUUUGUUAUGUAAUAGCCAUUAUUCUUCACUGCAUCCCUUAACACAGGAAACAACAUCAUGGAGUAAGCACAAUAGACCACUGUAGGUUGCAGUGCAAGGGCCAAGAAGGCCCACCCGUUAUACAUUCAUUCAACAUCUUGGAGUCCAAAAUCAGUAACAUGGGAGCAGAUGAAAGAGCAGGACUUGGUUAAUGUGAACAGGGGUUAUAAAAAUUUAUUCUACAGUAUGAAAAAUGUCUCAUUCUUCAUGAGGAGUAUGCAUGUUGUUUGGUGGACAAAGUUUACAACAGUAACCCCUGAAUGGAAGAAGAACUAAAGGAAAAUAUUCAAAUGAAAAUUGCAAAUAUUCCUGCAGAACUGCAUCAAAGAGUAAAUUAAAACGUCUUCUGCCUGUGCAAGGAAUGCCAACACCUCCUGUGAUCUGUGAAUUGUAACUACUUCAUUCCGAACAUCAUCAGCCAACAGGCAUAUUGAUUCAUCAGAAAAUUUUGUAUAUGCAUCAUAUCCAGCAGUGCACCAGUCACCGUGAAGAGCAGCUCCAUGAACCGAUCAGCAAAAGUUAUGGUUGUCUUACCAAGAGCACCAAGGCGAUAAUUGCAUGUGACCAUCACAACAUCAUGAUCUAGCAAGUAAUCAGGCCCAUACA
Molecule: long non-coding RNA, 844 nt
Organism: Cryptotermes secundus
Lineage: Eukaryota; Metazoa; Arthropoda; Insecta; Blattodea; Kalotermitidae
Exons: 3
Source: RefSeq, a predicted model, not a curated record